Long non-coding RNA from Sinocyclocheilus grahami, 685 nucleotides. RefSeq lists it as uncharacterized. The transcript has 2 exons. NCBI's taxonomy places the organism in Eukaryota, Metazoa, Chordata, Actinopteri, Cypriniformes, Cyprinidae. The record is from RefSeq and is a predicted model, not a curated record.
UCUCUCUCUCUCUCUCUCGGUCUGUCAGGUGACUAUGAGAAAGGCGUGGAUCAUCUGACGAAUGCGAUCGCCGUGUGCGGUCAGCCGCAGCAGCUCCUGCAGGUCCUGCAGCAAACGCUUCCUCCUCCAGUCUUCCAGAUGCUCCUCACCAAACUGCCCACCAUCAGCCAGCGCAUCGUCAGCGCUCAGAGUGUCGGCGACGACGACGACAUCGAGUAGACCUCCAGCAGCUCUGUGACAUCACUUCCUGUCUGCUUCGAAAUCAAUCAAUCAAUCGCUCUGUCCCGCCCCCUUUCCAUCCAGUUCUCAAACACUGAAUGCACAGAUACGGAUUUAAAGAAGAGUCAUAGUUUGGUUUUGAAUCUGAGCUUCUGAGUUUGUCCUGUUGACGUGUGUUAGAAUGACAGAAAACAAGCAUGACCUGCAGCAAUUAUUUGUUUUACUAACAAAGCAUUUUGGGUUCACUAAAUUAUGAAAUAUGCACGCGGGAAAUCAUCGACUAAUGACUCACCAGAGUACAUGCUGCUGUCGUUUAUCUGUGUUCAUGUAUUUAAGCUGUUUUUAAAGGCUGUGAGACGUCUAAUGGGGUAUUGCGGGAUAGGACGCACAUUUAAAGGUGCUCUGUUUCAAGUCGGGGAGAGUUUCCUCUUUAUUUUUUAACUCCAAAAUAAAAUCAUUGUAUGGA